Molecule: long non-coding RNA, 2052 nt
Organism: Saccostrea cuccullata (small rock oyster)
Lineage: Eukaryota; Metazoa; Mollusca; Bivalvia; Ostreida; Ostreidae
Exons: 4
Source: RefSeq, a predicted model, not a curated record
CUUUAAACUUUUGCAGAUACGGAAAGGAGAGUGCAAGUGCGCCUGGGAAACACUCAGAUUGUACGGGAUAAUGCUACACCUGAUACAACUAGGAGAGUGCGACUUGGACAUACUCAAGUUGUUCAGGAUAAUGUGGCACUGGAUACGAGCAUUACGAUCAGAUUGGGAGGAACGGUUCCCUUCUAACAACAUGAGAAGGUAUGGACCGAAGCCUUUAAUUGAUCAACGCCAUUUUGAUUCGUACAUUGAGUUAAGGGUUUAUCUUAGAUUGGCAUUUAAAUUUCCGAAAAUUAUUUGGUUUUUUUCUCUGUCCUUUGAUUUUUUAUUUCAAGUGAAAACCUGGUAUUGUGUAAAUCUGGAGAGUUUUACUGUCAAUAUUUUUUUUUACAGUUUUUUAGCAUGCAAUGCAUUUGUAAAAUAAUUUCCUUCAAAAUAGCACAACUAGAGUUAGUAACUUGUAAAAAAUGAAUAUUUGUGUAUUAUAGUCAAUAAUUAUUAUCCGAAGGUUCACAUACAGAAUUCGAAUAUAUUCAUAAUAAUUUUAUCCUUUUGUAUACAGUAAAACUCGGUUAUAGCAAAGUUCUGGGGAUUACGUAUAAGUAAUAACUUUAUAUUAGGAAAUCACAAUACGCACGUUUUCCUUCAAGUAUUACUACCGCAUAUAUUAGGGAAAAAUUUAUUAUAAAACUUACUUUAAAUAGCGAAGGUUUUAUUCUAAAUUGAAUUUUAUAUACAAAUACUUACUGAAAAUAAAGUUAGUUCAAUAUAACAAAUAUUGAAAUCCUUGAAAAUUUGUUAUAAAAGAUGUCAAUUUCAUUUUUUUUAAACUUCUAUGGGAUUAUCAAUCAGUUUGCUAUAUCCCUAAAUCUGUUAUAUCAGAAUUAUAACUGUAUAACUUUACAAAGUUUUGUAAAGAAUUUUGAUGGGGACCCCGAAACACUUCGCUAUAUCCGUCAAUUUGCUAUAUCCGUAUUCGCACUAAUUAGUCAAUGAUUAUUAUCUGAAGGUUCACAUACAUGUGCAUGAUUUUAUUCUUUUUUAUAUUUAUAUCUUUAUAUUUACAUUUUAGUGUCGAACAGAUGUAAAUUUUUAAAAGUUUAGAAGUGUAAAAACUGAUGUGCGGCAUUUUGACUAAAAUUGAAAAAAAAUCGACUUAAAAAUUAAAUUCCAUAAUAAUUGCAGUUUUGAACCUUACCACGUAGUGUGUUUAUUUGUAAGCAUCUUUACAUGUUUGUACUUCUUAGCAAUAUAUGCCACCACUUGAUGUAUUCAAUGACAUAUAAACUUUUUUAAGAAUAUAAACGUAUUUAUCGUUACUUGUAUCAUCAAUUUUUGUAAUGAGUAGAAAUCGUUUCAAACAUAAGAAUGCAAACAUUGAUAAACUUACUUUCUUUUUCCCUAACUCGUUUUCAUGGAGAACAGAGUAAAAGUUCUUUUUUAAUCAUGUAUAUUUUCCAUUGUCUUAAUGACACAUUUUGGAAAUACUGUUUUCUUUAUUUCAUCAAUGAUGAAAUCAAUCAUAAAAAUCCAAUAUUAAGAAAUAGAAAACCAUAAGGAAGUGAAAAGCUUGUACAUAUAUAUAAACCCAUUAUUUUGUAAUGAAAUUAAAUGUUUUGAUUUACACUUUUUUAUGUAAAUAUUUUAUCCUUGGCAUAAAAGGUCCCCUUCAGAUUACUGUGUAAUCGUUCUGUGUUCAUUUUGCUCUUUUUUUACUUUUCAGUAAUCUGUUGAAUAUUAAAUCUUAGAAUACUAGUAAUCAAUUCAUUCAAGUUUAUCAUGGAAUAUUAUAAAUCCAACUGAAGUCAUUAAAACCUGUGUUGAAAUGUAUUUUAUACAAAUGGAUUAAAUGAAUAUGCAAUAUUCAGAAAAACUCGUUCUUAAAUAAGAUUAUUAUCAGAAAAACAUUCUGUGAGAAGAAUAAUUUUAAGGGUCAACAUGUUAAAACCUACACCAACUGUGUUCAAGUAAAUUAAGGAGAUGAAUAAUGUUGUUUAAUGUUUAUAAAGGUUUUUUUCAUUUUAUAUUGUUUUUAGAUAAACUUAUUUUCUCUGA